GGCUCGGUAGCUUAGUUGGUAAAGCGCUCGUCUAGCAUACAAGAGUCCUGGGUUGAAAUCCCAGCCGAGCAC
This is a non-coding RNA of Aedes aegypti (yellow fever mosquito), 72 nucleotides long. The record is from Rfam. Lineage: Eukaryota; Metazoa; Arthropoda; Insecta; Diptera; Culicidae.